Molecule: signal recognition particle RNA, 207 nt
Filed under: Chlorocebus sabaeus (green monkey)
Lineage: Eukaryota; Metazoa; Chordata; Mammalia; Primates; Cercopithecidae
Description: Metazoan signal recognition particle RNA
Rfam family: Metazoan signal recognition particle RNA
About the family: The signal recognition particle (SRP) is a universally conserved ribonucleoprotein. It is involved in the co-translational targeting of proteins to membranes.
Source: Rfam by way of RNAcentral
GCCGGGGGUGGUGGCUCACGCCUGUAAUCCCAGCACUUUGGGAGGCUGAGGCGGGCAGAUCACGAGGUAAGAUCGAGACCAUCCUGGCUAACACGGUGAAACCCCAUCUUUACUAAAAAUNNNNNNNNNNGUAUUUUUAGUAAAGAUGGGGUUUCACCGUGUUAGCCAGGAUGGUCUCGAUCUUACCUCGUGAUCUGCCCGCCUCAG